RNAcentral lists this ribosomal RNA (508 nucleotides) under uncultured bacterium. RNAcentral's name for it is "partial 16S ribosomal RNA". It matches the Rfam family "Bacterial small subunit ribosomal RNA", at positions 30 to 523 of the family's 1533-position model. The record is from RNAcentral.
AUUGAACGCUGGCGGCAGGCCUAACACAUGCAAGUCGAGCGGCAGCGGGAAAGUAGCUUGCUACUUUUGCCGGCGAGCGGCGGACGGGUGAGUAAUGCCUGGGAAAUUGCCCAGUCGAGGGGGAUAACAGUUGGAAACGACUGCUAAUACCGCAUACGCCCUACGGGGGAAAGCAGGGGACCUUCGGGCCUUGAGCGAUUGGAUAUGCCCAGGUGGGAUUAGCUAGUUGGUGAGGUAAUGGCUCACCAAGGCGCCGAUCCCUAGCUGGUCUGGAAGGAUGAUCAGCCACACUGGAACUGAGACACGGUCCAGACUCCUACGGGAGGCAGCAGUGGGGAAUAUUGCACAAUGGGGGAAACCCUGAUGCAGCCAUGCCGCGUGUGUGAAGAAGGCCUUCGGGUUGUAAAGCACUUUCAGCGAGGAGGAAAGGUUGAUGCCUAAUACGUAUCAACUGUGACGUUACUCGCAGAAGAAGCACCGGCUAACUCCGUGCCAGCCGCCGCCGUAA